RNAcentral lists this ribosomal RNA (456 nucleotides) under uncultured bacterium. RNAcentral describes it as "bacterial SSU rRNA". It matches the Rfam family "Bacterial small subunit ribosomal RNA", at positions 8 to 507 of the family's 1533-position model. The record is from RNAcentral.
AGAGUUUGAUCAUGGCUCAGAACGAACGCUGGCGGCAGGCCUCAAACAUGCAAGUCUAGGGGGUGUAGCAAUACAUCACCGGCGGACGGGUGCGUAACACGUGGGAAUAUACCUUUUGGUUCGGAACAACGCAGGGAAACUUGUGCUAAUACCGAAUGUGCCCUUACGGGGAAAGAUUUAUCGCCAAAGGAUUAGCCCGCGUAGGAUUAGCUAGUUGGUGAGGUAAUGGCUCACCAAGGCUCCGAUCCUUAGCUGUUCUGAGAGGAAGAUCAGCCACACUGGGACUGAGACACGGCCCAGACUCCUACGGGAGGCAGCAGUUGGGAAUCUUGGACAAUGGGGGAAACCCCUGAUCCAGCCAUGCCGCGUGAGUGAUGAAGGCCUUCGGGUUGUAAAACUCUUUCGACGGGGACGAUAAUGACGGUACCCGUAGAAGAAGCUCCGGCUAACUUCGUG